Molecule: ribosomal RNA, 305 nt
Filed under: uncultured bacterium
Lineage: Bacteria
Description: bacterial SSU rRNA
Rfam family: Bacterial small subunit ribosomal RNA
Source: RNAcentral
CCUACGGGGGGCAGCAGUCGGGAAUAUUGCGCAAUGGAGGAAACUCUGACGCAGUGACGCCGCGUGCAGGAAGAAGGUUUUCGGAUUGUAAACUGCUUUAGACAGGGAAGAAACAAGACAGUACCUGUAGAAUAAGCUCCGGCUAACUACGUGCCAGCAGCCGCGGUAAUACGUAGGGAGCAAGCGUUAUCCGGAUUUAUUGGGUGUAAAGGGUGCGUAGACGGGAAAUUAAGUUAGUUGUGAAAUCCCUCGGCUUAACUGAGGAACUGCAACUAAAACUGAUUUUCUUGAGUGUUGGAGAGGAA